CCCUUAGACGUUCUGGGCCGCACGCGCGCUACACUGACGGAACCAGCGAGUAUAAACCUUGGCCGAGAGGUCUGGGAAAUCUUGUGAAACUCCGUCGUGCUGGGGAUAGAGCAUUGUAAUUAUUGCUCUUCAACGAGGAAUUCCUAGUAAGCGCAAGUCAUCAGCUUGCGUUGAUUACGUCCCUGCCCUUUGUACACACCGCCCGUCGCUACUACCGAUUGAAUGGCUUAGUGAGGCUUCCGGAUUGGUUUAGAGAAGGGGGCAACUCCAUCUUGGAACCGAGAAGCUAGUCAAACUUGGUCAUUUAGAGGAAGUAAAAGUCGUAACA
RNAcentral lists this ribosomal RNA (328 nucleotides) under uncultured eukaryote. RNAcentral's name for it is "partial 18S ribosomal RNA". It matches the Rfam family "Eukaryotic small subunit ribosomal RNA", at positions 1470 to 1796 of the family's 1831-position model. The record is from RNAcentral.